AGAAACUAACAAGGAUUCCCAUAGUAACUGCGAGUGAAGCGGGAAAAGCUCAAAUUUAAAAUCUGGCGGUCUCUGGCCGUCCGAGUUGUAAUCUAGAGAAGUAAUGCCCGUGCUGGACCGUGUAUAAGUCUCCUGGGAUGGGGCGUCAUAGAGGGUGAGAAUCCCGUCUUUGACACGGACUACCAGUGCAUUGUGGUAUGCUCUCAAAGAGUCGAGUUGUUUGGGAAUGCAGCUCAAAAUGGGUGGUAAAUUCCAUCUAAAGCUAAAUAUUGGCGAGAGACCGAUAGCGAACAAGUACCGUGAGGGAAAGAUGAAAAGAACUUUGGAAAGAGAGUUAAACAGUACGUGAAAUUGCUGAAAGGGAAACGCUUGAAGUCAGUCGCGUUGGCCGGGGAUCAGCCUUGCUUUUGCAUGGUGUACUUUCUGGUUGACGGGUCAGCAUCAAUUUUGACCGCUGGAAAAAGACCUGGGGAAUGUGGCAGCUUCGGCUGUGUUAUAGCCCCUAGUCGCAUACAGUGGUUGGGAUUGAGGAACUCAGCACGCCGCAAGGCCGGGUUUCGACCACGUUCGUGCUUAGGAUGCUGGCAUAAUGGCUUUAAGCGACCCGUCUUGAAACACGGACCAAGGAGUCUAACAUGCCUGCGAGUAUUUGGGUGGAAAACCCAAGUGCGUAAUGAAAGUGAAAGUUGAGAUCCCUGUCGUGGGGAGCAUCGACGCCCGGACCAGAACUUUUGGGACGGAUCCGCGGUGGAGCAUGUAUGUUGGGACCCGAAAGAUGGUGAACUAUGCCUGAAUAGGGUGAAGCCAGAGGAAACUCUGGUGGAGGCUCGUAGCGAUUCUGACGUGCAAAUCGAUCGUCAAAUUUGGGUAUAGGGGCGAAAGACUAUCGAACCAUCUAGUAGCUGGUUCCUGGC
Molecule: ribosomal RNA, 914 nt
Filed under: Agaricus dolichocaulis
Lineage: Eukaryota; Fungi; Basidiomycota; Agaricomycetes; Agaricales; Agaricaceae
Description: partial large subunit ribosomal RNA
Rfam family: Eukaryotic large subunit ribosomal RNA
Source: RNAcentral